This 357-nucleotide ribosomal RNA is filed under the name Streptococcus pneumoniae. RNAcentral's name for it is "partial 23S ribosomal RNA". It matches the Rfam family "Bacterial large subunit ribosomal RNA", at positions 1204 to 1564 of the family's 2925-position model. Lineage: Bacteria; Bacillati; Bacillota; Bacilli; Lactobacillales; Streptococcaceae. The record is from RNAcentral.
GGGUAUCACCUUUUGGGGAUGCGGUAGAGGAGCGUUCUGUAAGCCUGUGAAGGUGAGUUGAGAAGCUUGCUGGAGGUAUCAGAAGUGCGAAUGCUGACAUGAGUAACGACAAUGCGAGUGAAAAACUCGCACGCCGAAAGACCAAGGUUUCCUGCGCAACGUUAAUCGACGCAGGGUUAGUCGGUCCCUAAGGCGAGGCUGAAAAGCGUAGUCGAUGGAAAACAGGUUAAUAUUCCUGUACUUCCAGUUAUUGCGAUGGAGGGACGGAGAAGGUUAGGCCAGCCUGGCGUUGGUUGUCCAGGUUUAAGGUGGUAGGCUGAAAUCUUAGGCAAAUCCGGGAUUUCAAGGCCGAGAGCU